RNAcentral lists this ribosomal RNA (593 nucleotides) under uncultured bacterium. Its description in RNAcentral is "bacterial SSU rRNA". It matches the Rfam family "Bacterial small subunit ribosomal RNA", at positions 653 to 1249 of the family's 1533-position model. The record is from RNAcentral.
ACGGGAGUCUGGAAUUCCUGGUGUAGCGGUGGAAUGCGCAGAUAUCAGGAGGAACACCAAUGGCGAAGGCAGGACUCUGGGCCAUUACUGACACUGAGGAGCGAAAGCGUGGGGAGCGAACAGGAUUAGAUACCCUGGUAGUCCACGCCGUAAACGGUGGGCACUAGUUGUGGGGACCUUCCACGGUCUCUGCGACGCAGCUAACGCAUUAAGUGCCCCGCCUGGGGAGUACGAUCGCAAGAUUAAAACUCAAAGGAAUUGACGGGGCCCCGCACAAGCAGCGGAGCAUGCGGCUUAAUUCGACGCAACGCGAAGAACCUUACCAAGGCUUGACAUAUACAGGAAUAUGGCAGAGAUGUCAUAGCCGCAAGGUCUGUAUACAGGUGGUGCAUGGUUGUCGUCAGCUCGUGUCGUGAGAUGUUGGGUUAAGUCCCGCAACGAGCGCAACCCUCGUUCUGUGUUGCCAGCAUUUAGUUGGGGACUCACAGGAGACUGCCGGGGUUAACUCGGAGGAAGGUGGGGAUGACGUCAAAUCAUCAUGCCCCUUAUGUCUUGGGCUGCACGCAUGCUACAAUGGCUGGUACAAACGGCUG